Molecule: long non-coding RNA, 840 nt
Filed under: Brachypodium distachyon (stiff brome)
Lineage: Eukaryota; Viridiplantae; Streptophyta; Magnoliopsida; Poales; Poaceae
Description: long non-coding RNA (BDIS_LNC002507)
Source: RNAcentral
CAACAUUGUUUAUAAACUUAAGAUUCCUCUGAGAAUAAAAAACAUUGCGUAGCUUCAAGGAGUGGUGCUCAUUAAAGAUAAUUUGGCCAAAAAAAAUUGGAACGGUUGGAAAAACAAAAUGUGUCUUCUGUGACCGGCAGGAGACCAUUCAACUAUUGUUUUUUUAGUGUCACAUGGCGUGUUUGGUAUGGAGAAUUGUUUUUGUGGCUUUUAAGUUACCACCCGCUUGCAUUACGAAUAUUUUUGGUCGAUGGCUUAGGGGGGUGAGGAAAUCGCUUCCGUCACUUAUCCUUGUAGAGACUUGUGUGAUUUGCUUUUCUAUAUAGAAUUGCAGGAAUGGUUUUGUUUAACAAGAAAAAAGUUUCCAAUUUGUUGCAUGUUAUUUUUCAGGCAUGCAUUGGUUCCGUACUUUGUCCUCGCUGUUUCCGACGUCGGUCAAGGUGUCUAUAUAUUUUGGAUGCAACUGUAUGAAGAUGGUAACACGAGAGUUUUUCAACCGGUUUGGAUGGCGCACUGGUCUUAGGCUUCAGAAGUUCAGAUAGAUGAUUUAUGUUUUUUUUUUGCUGUUUUAUCGUAACUUGUGAGACAGAUGUGUUGCUGUAUAUUGUAAUACAGUAAUACAAUUGAUGUAUGCAUCCAUGCAUAUGCUCGAAAGGAAGAAAAAAAGCUGCCCAGCAACCGGGGCUGACAGACGCUGAAGACGGAUACGCAGGCGUGUGUAUGAUAUUGCACGCUACAAACGUGGGAUAGGGGAACCGAAGGAGUGCGAGUUAGGCCUUGGGCUGGUGGCCCCAUUGCCUCGGCCUAGAUGGGCCUGAUCUACGUCUACGAAAUCUGGGU